This 496-nucleotide ribosomal RNA is filed under the name uncultured bacterium. Its description in RNAcentral is "partial 16S ribosomal RNA". It matches the Rfam family "Bacterial small subunit ribosomal RNA", at positions 30 to 523 of the family's 1533-position model. The record is from RNAcentral.
AUUGAACGCUUGCGGAAUGCUUUACACAUGCAAGUCGAACGGUAGAGGGGGCAACCCCUCGAGAGUGGCGAACGGGUGAGUCAUAUAUCGGAACGUGCCCAGUCGUGGGGGAUAACGUAGCGAAAGUUACGCUAAUACCGCAUACGAUCUAAGGAUGACAGCGGGGGAUCGCAACACCUCGCGCGAUUGGAGCGGCCGAUAUCAGAUUAGGUAGUUGGUGGGGUAAAGGCUCACCAAGCAAACGAUCUGUAGCUGGUCUGGGAGGACGACCCGCCAGAGUGGAACUGAGACACGGUCCAGACUCCCACGGGAGGCAGCAGUGUGGAAUUUUGGACUAUGGACGAAAGCUUGACUCGUCCAUUCCGCGUGCAGGGUGAAGGCCCUCGGGUUGUAAACUGCUUUUGUACAGGACGAAAAGGUUUCUACUAAUACUAGGAGCUCAUGACGGUACUGUAAGAAUAAGCACCGGCUAACUACGUGCCAGCCGCCGCCGUAA